Long non-coding RNA from Mandrillus leucophaeus (drill), 671 nucleotides. RefSeq lists it as uncharacterized. The transcript has 2 exons. Lineage: Eukaryota; Metazoa; Chordata; Mammalia; Primates; Cercopithecidae. The record is from RefSeq and is a predicted model, not a curated record.
UGGCCCGAGCCCCAGCCUGGCCUCCCACCCAGGCCUCCCACCCAGCUCCCGGUCGCGGCGCCUCCUGGGGGUCCCUGCACUCUGGAAGAGACUGCAGGCGCUGGAAAGCGAGGCCGGUGGGCGGGCGAGUCGGGAGGCUCGGGCGGCCGAGGUCCAGGAGCGGAUCCCAGGUGGCGGGAGCUGGUGAGUGGAGCUAUGGCCGAGCCCUGCUGGGGCCGACGCGGGCGGGAGCUGGACGCGGCCUUGCGCUGGGGAAACGCGGGGACCCCCUACCCACGCCCGCCUUCACCGGAAGACUCGGAAGGAACCUGGAGUUCUCCGCAGACCCGGGCCCCGCCCUGAGCUUUCCAGCGGCCGGGAGGAACCGGUCCUGGGGCUAGGAAGGUGCCCAGGCAGGAGGGACUGGCUUAUGCCACCCCAUGCAGGAUCAUCUUUUUAGCUUACAGAGCCUAGUAUGAUUCAACAACCCUCCACCUCUGCCCUCAACAUGCCCAACUGAUCUGGUGAAGGGUACUGAAGACGAAGGCCUCUCAGGCACCAUGGAUGGGAUGGGUGUGUGUGAGGCGGGCAGAGUCCCCAGGAGCUGCCCCAGCUCUGGCUGGACAGUUGCAUGGGAAGGCCUGUUUGUGAACUCAACUUUUCUGUGGCUGUUCCAUUAAACUUCACCCAAA